CCUACGGGUUGCAGCAGUGGGGAAUAUUGCACAAUGGGCGCAAGCCUGAUGCAGCCAUGCCGCGUGUAUGAAGAAGGCCUUCGGGUUGUAAAGUACUUUCAGCGGGGAGGAAGGUGUUGUGGUUAAUAACCACAGCAAUUGACGUUACCCGCAGAAGAAGCACCGGCUAACUCCGUGCCAGCAGCCGCGGUAAUACGGAGGGUGCAAGCGUUAAUCGGAAUUACUGGGCGUAAAGCGCACGCAGGCGGUUGAUUGAGUCAGAUGUGAAAUCCCCGGGCUUAACCCGGGAAUUGCAUCUGAUACUGGUCAGCUAGAGUCUUGUAGAGGGGGGUAGAAUUCCAUGUGUAGCGGUGAAAUGCGUAGAGAUGUGGAGGAAUACCGGUGGCGAAGGCGGCCCCCUGGACAAAGACUGACGCUCAGGUGCGAAAGCGUGGGGAGCAAACAGGAUUAGAUACCCGUGUAGUC
RNAcentral lists this ribosomal RNA (465 nucleotides) under uncultured bacterium. RNAcentral's name for it is "bacterial SSU rRNA". It matches the Rfam family "Bacterial small subunit ribosomal RNA", at positions 338 to 795 of the family's 1533-position model. The record is from RNAcentral.